CGCCGGGAUCGGUGCGGCGCCCCGGAGCGAGCCGGCGGCAGCGGGGCCGCAGAGCAGGGAUCAUGGCCCCAGGCUGCUGCAGCUGGGGGGCGUUUGGUCACCGCUCUCAGGCAUAGCGUUUGAAUUUUGGGUGGUCGCGUGUGGGGCCAGGAGUUGGACUCGAUGAUCCGUGUGCAUCCCCUCCAACUCAGGAUGUACUGUGAUCCUAUGAAAUACUGUUACAAAACAGCCCCAGGAACUGAGACCCUCCUGAAUCCCGCUGCUUUUGAUUCCAGCCUUCUGAACUGUGCGGGGGGAUUGGCUAUGGAGGAGAUAGCAGAGGACACUUUCCAGGAGUUCUUCAGCCUCUCUUUCACUUUUCCUUCUUUCCCUGGAGCUCUAGAGCUAGUUACAAUAGCUCUUGAGAAUUCUGAACAUCCAUGAGAUGAUCAAACCAGAGUCCUCUUAUUGCUGUGUGUCAAUGAAUAUGUUUCAGGUUAUGCUUAAGAUAAAACAAUUAUUUAAGAAUAUCAUCUGGAGAUCAGCCCUGAGGUGGGAUAUUUCUGAGUGGCAGGAAGUGCCAAUAAUUUGGAACUUCACCUCUAAAUUACUGCAGAGUCUGGAAAAACUAGUAGAACGUUUGGAAAAGAUCUUCUGUUGCCCUGGAGGUCCUAAAGAGGCAGAAAUCAUUGCAGUGUGCUGGGGCCUGGUCUAUGCUUACAGAGAUCUUCUGAUCAAUACUAUUCAGCAUCCUUAAGGGGAACAGAGUACUUCUGGAUGUGAAGACAAUACAACAGACCCUCCAACUUCCAUGAUAGAGUCCCUGCAGCAGCUCCAGUUUCUGCAAGAGGUCCUACGGUUUCUCCAAGCAUUGAGACACCAUGCUGCCACUCCAACCCUUGUGAUGAGCCCUAUGGUUACUCCUGCUGUGGGUCUUGUGGCUGUUACAAG
Gallus gallus (chicken) is the source of this 930-nucleotide long non-coding RNA. The record is from Ensembl. Lineage: Eukaryota; Metazoa; Chordata; Aves; Galliformes; Phasianidae.